CGGGUGCGUAACACGUAUAUAAUCUGCCCUUAUCAGGGAAAUAGCCCGGAGAAAUCCGGAUUAAUGUCCCAUAAGAUAUUGAAGAGGCAUCUUUUUGAUAUUAAAGCUCAGGCGGAUAAGGAUGAAUAUGCGACUGAUUAGUUAGUUGGUGAGGUAACGGCUCACCAAGACUUCGAUCAGUAGGGGUACUGAGAGGUUAAACCCCCACACUGGUACUGAGACACGGACCAG
Molecule: ribosomal RNA, 231 nt
Filed under: uncultured bacterium
Lineage: Bacteria
Description: partial 16S ribosomal RNA
Rfam family: Bacterial small subunit ribosomal RNA
Source: RNAcentral